UGUUCGAGCGUCAUUACAACCCUCAAGCUCAGCUUGGUAUUAGGCUUCACCCUCAGGGGUGGGCUUUAAAAUCAGUGGCGGUGCCAUUUGGCUUCAAGCGUAGUAAUUUUCUCGCUUUGGAGACUGGGUGUACAUUUGCCAAUAACCCAAUAAUUUUAAAGGUUGACCUCGGAUCAGGUAGGGAUACCCGCUGAACUUAA
This 200-nucleotide unclassified non-coding RNA is filed under the name soil metagenome. RNAcentral's name for it is "partial contains internal transcribed spacer 2 and large subunit ribosomal RNA". The record is from RNAcentral.